Molecule: ribosomal RNA, 487 nt
Filed under: uncultured bacterium
Lineage: Bacteria
Description: bacterial SSU rRNA
Rfam family: Bacterial small subunit ribosomal RNA
Source: RNAcentral
GACGAACGCUGGCGGCGUGGAUUAGGCAUGCAAGUCGAACGGUAUCAUCCUUCGGGGGUGAGAGAGUGGCGAACUGGUGAGUAACACGUAGGUUAUCUACCCUCAAGACGGGGGACAACCCAGGGAAACUUGGGCUAAUACCGGAUGUGAGCAACUUUUAGUUGUUUGAAAGGUGGCGUAAGCUGUCGCUUGGGGAUGAGCCUGCGUCCUAUUAGUUAGUUGGUGAGGUAACGGCUCACCUAGGCAAUGAUAGGUAGGCGGCCUUAACGGGUGGUCGCCCACACUGGGAUUGAGAUACGGCCCAGACUCCUACGGGAGGCAGCAGUCGAGAAUAGUCUACAAUGGUCGGAAGACUGAUAGUGCGACGCCGCGUGAACGAUGAAUCCCUUCGGGGUGUAAAGUUCUUUUAUAUGUGAGCAGUGCUUCUUAUAUUAACAGUAUGGGGAGAGAGAUAUUAGCAUAUGAAUAAGCAACGGCUAACUCCGUG